RNAcentral lists this ribosomal RNA (413 nucleotides) under uncultured microorganism. Its description in RNAcentral is "bacterial SSU rRNA". It matches the Rfam family "Archaeal small subunit ribosomal RNA", at positions 330 to 745 of the family's 1478-position model. The record is from RNAcentral.
GUGCAGCAGUCGAGAAUCCUUCGCAAUGCGGGAAACCGCGACGAGGGGACUCCCAGUGCCUACGCUCAGCGUAGGCUGUUCCCGAGCCUAGAAAGCUCGGGGAGUAAGGGCUGGGUAAGACGGGUGCCAGCCGCCGCGGUAAUACCCGCAGCCCGAGUGGUGGCCACUAUUAUUGGGCCUAAAGCGUCCGUAGCCGGCCCGGUAAAUGCCUGGGUAAAUCGUGAGGCCUAACCUCACGAAUUCCGGGUAGACUGCCGGGCUAGGGACCGGAGGAGGGAGAGGGUACUCCAGGGGUAGGGGUGAAAUCCUGUAAUCCCUGGAGGACCACCGGUGGCGAAGGCGCUCUCCUAGGACGGGUCCGACGGUGAGGGACGAAAGCCAGGGGAGCGAACCGGAUUAGAUACCCGUGUAGU